GAUUGUGCCAAGGGGACUCAGAACUGAGACCACAAGACUUGUUUCUGAAGUGGAGUGAAGAAGGAAAGAGAGACGUGAGGUGACAGCUGACUGAGGAAACAAAACGAACUCACUGUAGCUUUGCUGUUUGCUUGGAGUCAAAUACAUCUGAAUAGACAAACCCAGCCCACCCCACACACCCCCCCCAACCCUUCUGAGGCAAUAACAACUGCCAAAUAACAAUUAAGGAUCUGACCACAAACCGAGAGGAGCACUAACACAGAAACAGAGGACUUCCCAAAAGAGCAGAAAGAGAGAGAGAGAGACAGAGAGAGAGAGGGAGAGAAAAGAGAGACUGGACAAGUUUGGAAUGACUGGACUAAACAAAAAGAAAAGAAACCGCUCGGGAGAAAGAACCAAGGCGUGAGAUUUGGGUGUACGUGUUUCUUUUGUGUUUUCUCUCUUUGAACUCAGUACAACAUCAUGUCUUGUUGAUAAGACUGCACUUUAUUUUAAGAGUACUGUUUUUUUCUUCAAUGCCACACACUUGAGUGAGUCAGAGAAGAUACUUUAAAAAAAAAAAAAAAAAAAACCUCUCUCUUCUCUCACACAAACCCAGAGGACAACCACUCCCUCAGUGUGCCUGGGCUGGGCAGAUCCCACCAACACAGCAGACAUGUCUGAUUCAACGAGUCUCACUGAAGCCAAGGAGCAGACCUUGGACAUACUGGAAAAGAUCUGGGUGAAGCUACAGGGUCUACCACACGCCAACCCCAUUGAGCUCGGAGCCUUCCUCAUCCUCGUCAUCUUCGUCUUGACAUUCCUAGGACUGGCAGUGCUGGCCUGUGUUCAGUGUUGCUGCAGUUGUGGAAAACGGCAGAGACACAAGGACUCCGUCAUCUGAAAAGAGUCAAUAAACAAGUACCUGGGGUCACACCCCUCACCCCCUGUUACAGAACUGCGUCAGGUACACCAUGGAAAGAAAAGAAAAAGGGAAAGAGCGAGACCCAGACUGUAAACAAACAAUGGGAGAAUGCCACUCUACAUGCCAUAAAAGCCCAAACCAACAGGACUGCCAACAUUCUGCUGGUGACUUUACAUCUCUGUGUGUCCACUGACACCUUCAGCUGUGACAAUGACCAAAUAUUACUGGAAUAAAAAACACGAAGACAAAAGGGUGCUAACCGUUAUAACAUGAGCAUUCACUUAUGCGUGUUACUCAUAGACCGUGCUGUUUAUUAAACUGCGAUUGUUUUCUUACUGAGACCAACUUAUGCCUCUAAAAAGUUUGCCUGUGGUUAAAAUAUGACUCUUAAUCAGUGUCCUUGAGCUUUCUAGAUAACAAAAGCUUUCAAAAUUCCAAAUGGACUAUGUGUGGUUCGUAGGGUGACUAAGUAUACUCGAUGCUCAGAACUGCCCUCUUGUGGCAGUUUAUAGUAGUAAAGCUACUCUGUGACUCUUUGAAGAGUAAGAUAAGGCCUACUCUUGAUGCUAAUCGUUAAAAAACAGUUACAUACCAUGAAGGAUUUUAUUUCAGUAUAAACAUUAAAUACAGACUGCUGAAGCCUAAAUGACCGUACAGGUUGAGUAUCCCUUAUCCAAAAUGUCUGGGACCACAAGUGUUUUGGACUUUGGAUUUUUUCAGAUUUUGGGAAUACAGUACUUGAAUAUACAUAAUGAGAUAUCUUGAUGCCAACAGAGCAUCAGAGCCCCACAUGGGCAAGUGGAGUCAUGUCGGCGCUCAAAAAGUUUCGGAUUUUGGGACAUUUCGGAUUUUCGGAUUAGGGAUGCUCAGCCUGUACCAUGUUGAAUAAUAUGUGAAAGGAUUUCAAAAUACUUUCAUUAUAUUGUUUUAUGGCUUUAAAUUGUGUCUGUAUGGUGUAUCUAGUGACUAGAUUUCAUAUAUUUUGGGAGUGAAACGUUAUGGGGGUUUUUUCCACAGUGUACCUGUAUUUGAUGAAGCAUGCUUUAAAAUGGUUUGAAAACUAUUGGGGCCAAUGUGACAGUAUGAGUUGGCCUAACAGAGUGAGUGUUCAUUUAACAAU
Molecule: long non-coding RNA, 2024 nt
Organism: Chanos chanos (milkfish)
Lineage: Eukaryota; Metazoa; Chordata; Actinopteri; Gonorynchiformes; Chanidae
Exons: 4
Source: RefSeq, a predicted model, not a curated record